GCCAGUGAUGACAGUUUAUAAAAUGGUUGACUGAAAAGCAAGUUUCUAAGCUUGCAAAGUUGCUGAAAAUCAUGAACUAGGACGGUCUGAGGCUAUUCUGAUUUUGGGUUUUUGCAAAGCUUGAAUCUUUUUAAUGUUUUUUUUGGUCAUGUGGGUUGUGUAUGAUGAUAUCAUAUGUUCAAUACAGUUAUCCCUGUCUGAUAAUUCUUGAUGUAUUACAUUUGAUCUGACUUGUACCCAUAUGGUAUUUUCUGUACCCUUGUUUAAUCUUUUUUUUUAUUAAUUUUUAUAAUGAUUUUUUUGUAAUGUGGGCUGUGUAUGAUGAUAUCUUAUGUCUAACAGUUAUCCCUGUCUGAUAAUUCUUGAUGUUUGCAUUUAAUCUGACUCAUAC
This 391-nucleotide long non-coding RNA is filed under the name Helianthus annuus (common sunflower). RNAcentral describes it as "hypothetical non coding rna". The stretch from base 1 to 93 matches the Rfam family "Small nucleolar RNA snoR20a". The record is from RNAcentral. Lineage: Eukaryota; Viridiplantae; Streptophyta; Magnoliopsida; Asterales; Asteraceae.